RNAcentral lists this ribosomal RNA (282 nucleotides) under uncultured bacterium. Its description in RNAcentral is "partial 16S ribosomal RNA". It matches the Rfam family "Bacterial small subunit ribosomal RNA", at positions 793 to 1055 of the family's 1533-position model. The record is from RNAcentral.
GUCCUAGCCCUAAACGUUGAGUACUAGAUUGUAGACUUACAUGGGUUUACAGUCGAAGCAAAGUGUUUAGUACUCCGCCUGGGGAGUAUGGUCGCAAGGCUGAAACUCAAAGAAAUUGACGGGGGCUCACACAAGCGGUGGAGCAUGUGGCUUAAUUCGAGGCUACGCGAAGAACCUUAUCCUAGGCUUGACAUGUGCGAAAGCGUCUGGGGGUAGUUUCCCGGAAACGGGAGACGAAGGUAUCCAAUCCUGAACCAGAUACAGGUGCUGCAUGGCUGUCGU